RNAcentral lists this non-coding RNA (452 nucleotides) under Ceratolimon feei. Its description in RNAcentral is "partial transfer RNA-Leu". It matches the Rfam family "Group I catalytic intron", at positions 41 to 251 of the family's 253-position model. Rfam says of the family: Group I catalytic introns are large self-splicing ribozymes. They catalyse their own excision from mRNA, tRNA and rRNA precursors in a wide range of organisms. The core secondary structure consists of 9 paired regions (P1-P9). The record is from RNAcentral. Lineage: Eukaryota; Viridiplantae; Streptophyta; Magnoliopsida; Caryophyllales; Plumbaginaceae.
AUACUUCAAAUCAGAGAACCUGGAUUAAUAAAACGGCAAUCCUGAGCCAACUCCGCUUUCCAAAAAAGAUAGGUGCAGAGACUCAAUGGAAGCUAUUCUAACAAAUGUCGUUGACUUCGUUGCAUUGUUAUAAGAAUACAUCCUCAAAAGAUGAAGAAGAACGUAUAUACAUAUGUAUACGUGCUGAAAGUGAAAUACUAUACUGUAUCGAAAAAAAAAAUUCAAUUCAUGAUGACCCGAAUACAUUUUUUUUCAUAUUCAUAUAAAAAAGGGGAAGAAUUGUUGUGAAUUGAUUCCAAGUUGAAGAAAGAAUUGAAUAUGAAUUUCAUAAAUUCAAAUGAAAAAUCCCGUGUCUGAUAGAUCUUUUGAAGAACCGAUCAAUUGGAUGAGAAUGAAGAUAGAGUCCCAUUCUACAUGUCAAUACCGACAAGAAUGAAAUUUAUAGUAAGAGG